This 393-nucleotide ribosomal RNA is filed under the name uncultured bacterium. Its description in RNAcentral is "partial 16S ribosomal RNA". It matches the Rfam family "Bacterial small subunit ribosomal RNA", at positions 523 to 918 of the family's 1533-position model. The record is from RNAcentral.
AUACGGAGGAUGCGAGCGUUAUCCGGAUUUAUUGGGUUUAAAGGGUGCGUAGGCUGUUUUUCAAGUCAGGGGUGAAAUGCCGGGGCUCAACUCCGGAGCUGCCUUUGAUACUGGGAGGCUGGAAUACUGUUGCCGUGGGAGGAAUGAGUAGUGUAGCGGUGAAAUGCAUAGAUAUUACUCAGAACACCGAUUGCGAAGGCAUCUCACGAAGCAGUGAUUGACGCUGAGGCACGAAAGCGUGGGGAUCAAACAGGAUUAGAUACCCUGGUAGUCCACGCAGUAAACGAUGAUAACUAACCGUUGGCGAUAGACAGCCAGUGGCCAAGCGAAAGCGAUAAGUUAUCCACCUGGGGAGUACGACCGCAAGGUUGAAACUCAAAGGAAUUGACGGGG